UCACGCACAGGGCAAACCAUCUGAAAAGGUGGGACGCAAAGCCUCCGGCCUAAACCACGAUAAGUGGUAGGUAGCGGGGUUACCGAU
RNAcentral lists this non-coding RNA (87 nucleotides) under Vibrio mangrovi. RNAcentral describes it as "c-di-GMP sequence". It matches the Rfam family "c-di-GMP-I riboswitch aptamer". From Rfam's summary of the family: GEMM was predicted in a large-scale screen for bacterial structured RNA regulatory elements. Genes associated with GEMM are involved in a diverse array of functions, including chemotaxis regulation, signal transduction, secretion and chitin. Lineage: Bacteria; Pseudomonadati; Pseudomonadota; Gammaproteobacteria; Vibrionales; Vibrionaceae. The record is from RNAcentral.